CAGCCGCCGCGGUAAUACGGAGGGUGCAAGCGUUAAUCGGAAUUACUGGGCGUAAAGCGCACGCAGGCGGUCUGUUAAGUCAGAUGUGAAAUCCCCGAGCUUAACUUGGGAACUGCAUUUGUGACUGGCAAGCUAGAGUCUGGCAGAGGGGGGUGGAAUUCCGCGUGUAGCAGUGAAAUGCGUAGAUAUGCGGAGGAACACCGAUGGCGAAGGCAGCCCCCUGGGCCAACACUGACGCUCAUGCACGAAAGCGUGGGGAGCAAACAGGAUUAGAUACCCCGGUAGUCCCUGUCUCUUAUAC
Molecule: ribosomal RNA, 301 nt
Filed under: uncultured bacterium
Lineage: Bacteria
Description: partial 16S ribosomal RNA
Rfam family: Bacterial small subunit ribosomal RNA
Source: RNAcentral